Molecule: long non-coding RNA, 594 nt
Filed under: Drosophila guanche
Lineage: Eukaryota; Metazoa; Arthropoda; Insecta; Diptera; Drosophilidae
Source: RNAcentral
GUAGGUCCAAUAUCUAUCGACACUUCGAAAGUAGGAUGAUAGCAGUCUUCAGGUAUAGUGAGCGGGAGUGCUCGUGUUAACAACGCUACGGUCGGAUCCGAGACAAAGCACAGAUCAAGCAAUCGACCCAAGGAGUUUUUUACAUGGUUGACUUGAGACAUGGACAGGUCUAAUAAGCCAUCAAUAAACUCAUGUCGUGACAUGGGCACAAGGUUGUUUGACUCGUUAACCGAAGACCAGACAGUACCUGGCAGGUUGAAAUCCUCAAGAACUAUUAAAUGGUCUUUAUCAGAUAGCUAGGAAGAAACAGUUUUUAAGGCAGACAAAUGCUGCUCGUAUAUUAGUACAUCCGAAGUCGGUGGAAUAUACGAGCAAGUGACAUAAAUAGACUGGCCGGGAAGAAUCAGUCUAACACAGAGGAUUUCCAGGUCUUGUGAGACCUGGACUAUGAAAAGUUCCGACGUAAAGUUAGAGUUUACUGCAAUCAGAACCCCUCCUUCACGUCGAGACGAACGAUAAUUUCUAUAAGUUGUGUACCGAUCUGCCAAAACUUCGGAACUAAGAAUGUCCGGCUUUAACCAGGUUUCGGUAAAC